UUUGGUGACUUUGCCCGCUUUGACCCGCAGGGCGGGCUGGCCGGCAUCGCCGCAAUCAAAGCCCAUCUGGACAUCCUGGUGGAGCGCUCCAACCGCAGCAGAGCCAUCAACGGAGGCUCCAGGUCUUCCCAGACCCCUUUGGCACCCCUCUCCUUGAGGAAUGACACCUCUCACCCGGACUCCCGCCCAGGGACCAGUCAAAUAUAGGAGCUCCUGGCGUCCCCACUCCCUCCCCAGUCUCCUCUCCCUCUGUUUUCCUCCUCUCCUGCCCCAGUGGAUACCCCAGAGCAUCCCCUGCCCACAGAUGGCUACAAAGGGGGAACGUCCCUUAAUCCCAGUCCUAGUAAGGCCCUGGGGUGAGGGAUGAGCCUGUGGACUCAGGGCCUGUUCCUCCUAGUGCCUCCACGGGUGACCGUGCUCCCCAAGUCUCGGGUGGAGCUGGGCCAGCCCAACAUCCUCAUCUGCAUCGUGGACAACAUCUUCCCCCCUGUGAUCAAUAUCACCUGGCUGCGCAACGGCCAAACUGUCACUGAGGGAGUGGCCCA
This 545-nucleotide long non-coding RNA is filed under the name Homo sapiens (human). Its description in RNAcentral is "major histocompatibility complex, class II, DO alpha (ENSG00000230141.11)". The record is from RNAcentral. Lineage: Eukaryota; Metazoa; Chordata; Mammalia; Primates; Hominidae.